AGCUGAUGCCAUGUGGAACAGAGAUGAACUGCCGCUGCCGAGCUCUGCCCACGUUGCAGAAUCAUGAGCAAAUAUGUUGUGGAUUGGCUGUAACUCUGCUCUGGGAUCCAGGCUGAAGGAGCAGGCUCUAUCUGGAACAUUACUAGUCUCCAGGCAGAAGAAAAAGAGACAAUGGAAUGGAUGAUUGAAUGGAUGAAUGAACUCCACAGGAAGAUGAGGAAAGCCUUUAUGGAUGGAGUGAGCUUGCAGCAGAGUCUCAAAGGGCCUACCUGGAAUGCCAUGCUCCCUCACCGCCAAUGCUGCCCUACCAAAUUCAGCCCAUAGACCUUCAAAAACCAAUUCAAAUCUCCAAGAAUCCAAGUCAGAAGAAAUUGCUGCCUCCUCUGAAUAAUUAUUGCUGACACUGAUUGCACUCUGUGCUUAUUGCUCAGUCCUUUGAGUUAUCUCGUCAAUAUUUCCCAUUUGUCCUAUAUCCAUCCCCACCUAGGAAUGAAUGGGACUUCAUGAUUCUGUCUUUCUAGUAUUAGAUGUCUUGCUCAGUAAAAAAUGUUUACUGUCUUGUAAAUUAAUUUAAAUAUAUGGUAAAAUAAUA
RNAcentral lists this long non-coding RNA (592 nucleotides) under Homo sapiens (human). RNAcentral describes it as "non-protein coding lnc-ABHD2-1:16". Lineage: Eukaryota; Metazoa; Chordata; Mammalia; Primates; Hominidae. The record is from RNAcentral.